Molecule: ribosomal RNA, 465 nt
Filed under: uncultured bacterium
Lineage: Bacteria
Description: partial 16S ribosomal RNA
Rfam family: Bacterial small subunit ribosomal RNA
Source: RNAcentral
CCUACGGGGGGCAGCAGUAGGGAAUUUUCGUCAAUGGGCGCAAGCCUGAACGAGCAAUGCCGCGUGAACGAGGAAGGUCUUCGGAUCGUAAAGUUCUGUUGAAGGGGAAAAAGAGCGGAGAGAGGAAAUGCUUUCUGAUUGAUAUUACCCUUCGAGGAAGUCACGGCUAACUACGUGCCAGCAGCCGCGGUAAUACGUAGGUGGCAAGCGUUAUCCGGAUUUAUUGGGCGUAAAGCGAGCGCAGGCGGUUGCUUAGGUCUGAUGUGAAAGCCUUCGGCUUAACCGAAGAAGUGCAUCGGAAACCGGGCGACUUGAGUGCAGAAGAGGACAGUGGAACUCCAUGUGUAGCGGUGGAAUGCGUAGAUAUAUGGAAGAACACCAGUGGCGAAGGCGGCUGUCUGGUCUGCAACUGACGCUGAGGCUCGAAAGCAUGGGUAGCGAACAGGAUUAGAUACCCCGGUAGUC